GAUGAACGCUGGCGGCGCGCCUAAUACAUGCAAGUCGAACGAGGUCUUCGGACCUAGUGGCGAACGGGUGAGUAACACGUUGGUACCUACCCCGAAGUGGGGAAUAACUGCCCGAAAGGGUGGCCAAUACCGCAUAAUACCGCAAGGUUAAAGCAGUAAUGCGCUUCGGGAGGGGCCUGCGUCCCAUUAGCUAGUUGGUAGGGUAAUGGCCUACCAAGGCGACGAUGGGUAGCUGAAUCGAGAGGUUGACCAGCCACACUGGGACUGAGAUACGGCCCAGACUCCUACGGGAGGCAGCAGUAAGGAAUCUUCCACAAUGGACGAAAGUCUGAUGGAGCAACGCCGCGUGCAGGAUGACGGCCUUCGGGUUGUAAACUGCUUUUAUACGGGAAGAUUAUGACGGUACCGUAUGAAUAAGGACCGGCUAACUACGUGCCAGCCGCCGCCGUAA
RNAcentral lists this ribosomal RNA (451 nucleotides) under uncultured bacterium. Its description in RNAcentral is "partial 16S ribosomal RNA". It matches the Rfam family "Bacterial small subunit ribosomal RNA", at positions 28 to 523 of the family's 1533-position model. The record is from RNAcentral.